Molecule: ribosomal RNA, 519 nt
Filed under: uncultured bacterium
Lineage: Bacteria
Description: partial 16S ribosomal RNA
Rfam family: Bacterial small subunit ribosomal RNA
Source: RNAcentral
ACUCAAAUGAAUAGACGGGGACUCGCACAAGCGGUGGAGCAUGAGGUUCAAUUCGACACUAACCGAAAAACCUUACCAGGGCUUGAAAUUCACGGGAAGACGCUAGGAAACUAGCUUCGUCCGCAAGGACUCGUGAACAGGUGCUGCAUGGUUGUCGUCAGCUCGUGCUUUGAAGUGUUCCCUUAAGUGGGGUAACGAGCGCAACCCGCACUCUGUGUUUGAUCUGUCACAGAGAACCGCCCCCGUUUUUGCUCAUGAAAUGAAAAUUUCGUGGUUAAAAACGGGGGAGGAAGGAGCGGAUGACGUCAAAUCAGCAUGGCCCUCUGAUGCCCUGGGCUACACUCGUGCUACAAUGGUCGGUACAAUGGGUCGCCAACCCGCAAGGGGGAGCUAAUCCCAAAAACCGACCCCAGUUCAGAUAGGAGGCUGCAAUUCGCCUCCUUGAAGUCGGAAUCGCUAGUAAUCGCGGAUCAGCAUGCCGCGGUGAAUACGUUCUCGAGUCCUGCACACACCGCCCGU